GGCAGGAGGCCCGGGUGUUCGUGCGGAGCCGAGCGCAGCAGGGCCCGGCGGUACCUUGAUGCGCUCCCCGCCGAUGGUGACGGCGCGCUCGCGGAAGUCCACGCCGAUGGUGGCCUCCGUGCGCUCCGGGAAGCGGCCCGCGCAGAAGCGCAAUGCACCUGAUCAAAGCAAUUACUUAGGAAGAGCUUUCCCAUUCUAAUGCGAGUUGCCUACACUAGCAAGCACAGACCUGCCACAACAGUGGUGUUCUGGUGCAGACGAGAAGGCAUCGAUCUCGUUUCCGAGAGGCUCAGGAGGGAAUCAAAUACCACAAAGGUCCUGGAAAUUUACAAGGAGCGCUCUAUGAAGGAGCCAGGCCUUGAGGUGAAGAAUGACGAGGCUGGGAUGUACAGUGUGUCCUUUGUUCUGUGAGAGGAGGACUUUUGCCAGGAGGGGGAAUGGAGGAAAGGCAUAAAGAAUGCUCCUGUCUCAGAGAAGAAGAAAAGCGUUGCCUAGGAAGUGUUGCCCUAUCCCUGCUCUGGAACAGUAGCACGGACAUUUCUUGUUCAGAAAAUACAUUCUUCUGCCCACCAGAGGCUGCUGUGGCACGAGACCAGAGGGCAGUCGCUCCCAGGCGGAAGCAGCCCUCUGUGGAUAUGUAGGAGAAGAGACUGCAUUCCUUACAGCACCCUGCCUGUGGGACCAGCAUCGUCAACACUUGAAGGACAAAGGAAGCAUCAAUGGACUGGGGAGGGAUCAUGGCUGAAAGAAUUUCAGUCAGUAAGACUGCUAAAACAUGUGGUCACCUUCGAAUUGUGCCAAAAUUUACUGGAAGAACAGCUGCUUCAAAUGCAACCCCUCAGAUCUGCUUCAUCAGGACAAGAGACCAUGAAUAUGCAGAAUGAUCUUACUCUCAAAUUAAAUUUGUAUGUUUUUCUUUUGAAAAUUAUACAAGGGCUCGAAAGAGUGUUUUAGAAUUACCCCACCAAAUCCUACUUGGAUUUUAACUUUAGACCUGCAUUGUAUAAACAGAAUACGUAGUAGUAAUAAUACCACUUUUCAUCCGUAGAUCGAAAAGCAUUUGAACAAAGGUUAGUAUCAUCACAUUUUUACAGAUGAGGAAACUGUGGCACAGAGAGUUAAAAUGAUUUGCCCACUGUCACCAAGCAGGCUGCUGGCAGAAUAGAACCCAGAUCUCCUGAGUCUCAGUCCAGCGCUCUAUCCACUGGGCUACACUGCCUCUAUUUUUAAUAGAGAGUUAGCAUUCACUUGUUACAAGUCAAUUCCUGGCUUGCAACUUUAACCACUCAAUUAGGAGCUCCAGUCUAACUAUCAAUGUCAAGCAUACAAGUAUCUAUAUCUACAGAAUAUACCCCAAACACUUCAACUGCACACAAAAUAAAUCCAGGAAAUUUCUUAUACCUGUA
Mauremys mutica (yellowpond turtle) is the source of this 1406-nucleotide long non-coding RNA. RefSeq lists it as uncharacterized. The transcript is spliced from 7 exons. NCBI's taxonomy places the organism in Eukaryota, Metazoa, Chordata, Testudines, Geoemydidae. The record is from RefSeq and is a predicted model, not a curated record.